RNAcentral lists this ribosomal RNA (377 nucleotides) under uncultured bacterium. RNAcentral's name for it is "bacterial SSU rRNA". It matches the Rfam family "Bacterial small subunit ribosomal RNA", at positions 521 to 896 of the family's 1533-position model. The record is from RNAcentral.
UAAGACGAACCGUACGAACGUUAUUCGGAAUCACUGGGCUUAAAGGGUGCGUAGGCUGUGCGGAAAGUUGGGUGUGAAAUCCCUCGGCUUAACCGAGGAACUGCGCCCAAAACUACCGUGCUCGAGGGAGACAGAGGUGAGCGGAACUUAGGGUGGAGCGGUGAAAUGCGUUGAUAUCCUAAGGAACACCGGUGGCGAAAGCGGCUCACUGGGUCUCUUCUGACGCUGAGGCACGAAAGCUAGGGGAGCGAACGGGAUUAGAUACCCCGGUAGUCCUAGCCGUAAACGAUGAGCACUGGGUUGGAGGGUCCUCCAUAGCCUUCCAGCCGUAGCGAAAGUGUUAAGUGCUCCGCCUGGGGAGUAUGGUCGCAAGGCUG